CACACACACACACACACACACACACACACACACACACACACACAAAACAAAAAACACUGACCUAGACCACUAUUGUAAGGCUACCUAGAGACAAAAAACACUUACAAUAAAACACACGCCAUUGCGUGACUAACGCCAACUACCACAGGUACGGUAUUUCCGCCUUCUCGGCAGUUUUGCUUGCCGCGGAUUCCGUUACCCCUGGCAACUGGCAUCCGGAAGCGGAUGAUCCUCCCGACGCAGCGUCAGGUCCGGGGUAGCCUAACGCUGCGUCCCGACGCCUGGGUCGUUCGUUUCUCUUCAUCUCUUCUUGAAGGCAUUUUAUCAUCUCACAUCAUCGCAAGCAGGGUGCUGAUGCUUGAUGCUUUUUGAUAGCAAAUGAGAGAAAACCAAGAAAAAACGCUCAUUGUGCAUUAAGUCAUCUGGUUAUUUGAGCGUGGUUGAGAAUGUUGAAGAGGCAUCCCUGGUAUGUUCCAGAACAAGUGGGAAGUACGACCACUCUACCAUUGUGCUGACUUUAUGGCAGAUGGACUGGAGGAAUGAAGCGGCAGGUGGCUGGUGUGAACCAGGGGUCCUGUAGAAGCAGCAGAGGAUAAAGCUGAGGCAGGAACUGACGAGAAGUAAGUCAUUUCUGAUGAUGCCUCUGCUUUUUACCAACAAUGUGGCAGGAUCUGAAGGCACGUGAUUUGGGACAUAUGUUUCUGGUUUGUGAUUGGGGUGCAAAUUAAAUGCAAGAGGGCAAUCCCAAACAGAGGGUGUGUGGCCAAAUUAAACAAGUUUAUGCAUCCAUAAGGAGAGCCCAGAUAUAGGAAUUCUAAUUAGGAAAACAAUAUGAUAUUCUCUCUGGGCUCCUGGAUUUUCACUCAAAAUGUUGAACUUCCUUGGAAGGUCUUCAUAUUCGCUUUUCAUUUGAAGUCCCAGAUUAUUUUUGCGAAAAUCAAUCCUACGUGAUACUUGUAAAGUAUAUGCCCUCACUUUCUUUUCAAGGUUCAAGAAUUGUGGAUGUGUGCUAUUGGUUUGAUUCCCAAAUUCUGGCAGAUGUCCCAAAAGAAAAAAAAUGCGUAAAACUCUAGACCCAAAAGUGCCCAUUAGUUACCUCUAAGCGUGCCAAGUUGUCGAACGAUAUUACAGUUAUGAUCUUUAAAGCAUUUGUAAAAAAGCUGGAUAACUUUGUGUAAAAAAGCUGAAUUUUAUAGCUUCGCCUAUGCCAAAGAGAUUUCCAACAGAAAGCACCCUGGUAAGCCUAAUUAUUACUCCACAUAUGGUACAUGGCAUCAUAAGCUAUUUUUGAGGUUUGGGGAAAGAGAGAGCCAAGUGACGACCACAACAGGGCGUGCUGAACAAUUUUAACUCUGAAUCUAACAUCCCUAGUUGGCAGAGCAUAAGACACAAAAUGCUGCUUCAGCGAUCCGUCUCUCACAUAUUUAAUUUGAGGGCAAAUAAUUUAGUUAAAAUUUACGGGGUGGGGUGGAGAAGGGAGUGAUAUACAAGAAGUCAGGAUAGUGCACCUAGAGUCAGGGAAGAUUGUUCUUCAGAAUAUCACAGCCGUUAUUAGCAAGGGCAGGUUUCAUCUCAUACUUUAAAAUCAUGUCAGCGUUUAUGACUCUAGCCUUCAUUGAGGGAAAAAUGCAUAAUCUGAGUUAGAAGGCAGCUGAAGUUGAACAUUAAAAAAUUUUAGCUCUCGAAUGUGUUAGGCUGUUGCAUAAACAAAAUAAUUUGGGGAGAAUGAACUCAGAGAAACAUGGAAGCCAUCACCCAUUUAUCAGAGUUGCCUGUAUGCCUUUAACUGAUUAUGUUUGAAAGGUUCUUCAGAGAAAGAAUUAGACGUUAAAGAAAGAGGGGUAUUUCAUACUUACGACUUCAGUGUGUCAGUCCAGUGAGAACUAUUUCUAAAUCAGUUAUGUGGAUAUCUCAACGUGGCUUCAGAUAAAUUCAGGCAUCCUUCUACCUCCAUCCCUGAAACAUUUUAAAAGUCAGUCUUGUCUAUUGUUUAGUUGCAGAAUCUUUUGCUCAGAGAUCAUUAUGACACUGGAGGGGGCAUGCCCAUAAUGCCUGGGACACUUAUAAGGCAUUCACACAUAUUGAAUGAUAAUUACGCUUACAUCUCUUACCAUCUUUUGUUGGAUCUCUAAAGCCUUUGAUUCUACAAGUCUGAGAAACUUAGCAGAUUCCUGGCACCAUUUCCCUCUGGUUUUAGAUAAAAGUAAGAAUUUCCUUCUCUAGCGAAAUAAAGGGAUAUGCCUUUCCAGUUUUCCAUUCUAAAUAUUAAAAAAAAAAAAAAAGGACACUGCUUAAAGUUAAGGAUUGUCUUCACUAGGGCAGAGUCAUUGGGAGCAAAUAAUUAAUAUUCCCAGUAGAUCUAUAUUCAUGAGCAAGGCCAAAAGAGAAUCAUGACAUCAGCAUUUUGGGUGGCUUUUUAUUCUUUUGUGGUUAUUUCAUACUCUUUUAAAGCAAAAUCAGAUAUACUUUACUUACUUUAUUUAAAUAUACCAGUUAACAAACGAGGAAAACCAAAUCCAGGUUUUAAUCCCGCCUUAUUUGUAUUUGUCAGUUGAAUGAUUUAUAAACCUCUGUGGCAUAAAACUUCUAAGCAUUAUGAUAAGAUUAGAACAGCUUCAUUUUUUCUUUUGAGAAAGAACUAGAAUUACUGUUCUUUAAAUCUGGCCUCUCUUGUUGCUAUUGCUGUUUUCUCCAAAAGGUGGCGCUUGUGUAACCUUUUUCUUCCUCAGGGUGCAGAGCGCCUGGGGAGCCAGAGGGACCAGAGUGCAUUUUCAGAAUUGUUUUCCUUUGACAAACUCCAAGUAGCCACUUCAAAAAUCUGCAUUUUUGUAACUGCAGGUCCUUUAUGUGCAAAGAACCCUUUACAUAAGAAUUAGUCUGAUUUUGUGAAAGAAAAAACAUGCUUCCUGUCUUAGUUUAGUUUAAACCUUACAGUUCUUUAACCCAAGUUUAUUUUAUAACGUUCUUCUUUCCUUCUGAUCUUUGACUAAAGUUCUAAUUUUUUUUGAUAACCUUGAUCCAUUUGA
Long non-coding RNA from Felis catus (domestic cat), 3026 nucleotides. RefSeq lists it as uncharacterized. NCBI's taxonomy places the organism in Eukaryota, Metazoa, Chordata, Mammalia, Carnivora, Felidae. The record is from RefSeq and is a predicted model, not a curated record. The transcript has 5 exons.